UACGAAGGGGGCUAGCGUUGUUCGGAAUUACUGGGCGUAAAGCGUGCGCAGGCGGUUUUGUAAGCCAGAUGUGAAAUCCCCGGGCUCAACCUGGGAAUGGCAUUUGGGACUGCAAGGCUGGAGUGUGGCAGAGGAGACUGGAAUUCCUGGUGUAGCAGUGAAAUGCGUAGAUAUCAGGAGGAACACCUGUGGUGUAGACGGCUUUCUGGACCAUAGCUGACGCUGAGACACGAAAGCGUGGGUAGCAAACAGG
RNAcentral lists this ribosomal RNA (253 nucleotides) under uncultured bacterium. RNAcentral's name for it is "partial 16S ribosomal RNA". It matches the Rfam family "Bacterial small subunit ribosomal RNA", at positions 524 to 776 of the family's 1533-position model. The record is from RNAcentral.